RNAcentral lists this ribosomal RNA (460 nucleotides) under uncultured bacterium. RNAcentral describes it as "partial 16S ribosomal RNA". It matches the Rfam family "Bacterial small subunit ribosomal RNA", at positions 338 to 795 of the family's 1533-position model. The record is from RNAcentral.
CCUACGGGGGGCUGCAGUGAGGAAUAUUGGUCAAUGGCCGGGAGGCUGAACCAGCCAAGUCGCGUGAGGGAAGACGGCCCUACGGGUUGUAAACCUCUUUUGUCAGGGAGCAAGGUGCAGGUCGGGACCUGCUGUGAGAGUACCUGAAGAAAAAGCAUCGGCUAACUCCGUGCCAGCAGCCGCGGUAAUACGGAGGAUGCGAGCGUUAUCCGGAUUUAUUGGGUUUAAAGGGUGCGUAGGCGGCCUUUUAAGUCAGCGGUGAAAGUCUGUGGCUCAACCAUAGAAUUGCCGUUGAAACUGGGGGGCUUGAGUAUGUUUGAGGCAGGCGGAAUGCGUGGUGUAGCGGUGAAAUGCUUAGAUAUCACGCAGAACCCCGAUUGCGAAGGCAGCCUGCCAAGCCAUGACUGACGCUGAUGCACGAAAGCGUGGGGAUCAAACAGGAUUAGAUACCCGGGUAGUC